This 920-nucleotide ribosomal RNA is filed under the name Enterococcus sp. Its description in RNAcentral is "bacterial SSU rRNA". It matches the Rfam family "Bacterial small subunit ribosomal RNA", at positions 53 to 940 of the family's 1533-position model. The record is from RNAcentral. Lineage: Bacteria; Bacillati; Bacillota; Bacilli; Lactobacillales; Enterococcaceae.
ACUGCAAGUCGAAACGGCUUUUUCUUUCACCGGGAGCUUGCUCCACCGAAAGAAAAGGAGUGGCGAACGGGUGAGUAACACGCUGGCGUAACCUGCCCAUCAGAAGGGGAUAACACUUGGAAACAGGUGCUAAUACCGUAUAACAAUAGAAACCGCAUGGUUUCUAUUUGAAAGGCGCUUUUGCGUCACUGGUGGAUGGACCCGCGGUGCAUUAGCUAGUUGGUGAGGUAACGGCUCACCAAGGCAACGAUGCAUAGCCGACCUGAGAGGGUGAUCGGCCACAUUGGGACUGAGACACGGCCCAAACUCCUACGGGAGGCAGCAGUAGGGAAUCUUCGGCAAUGGACGAAAGUCUGACCGAGCAACGCCGCGUGAGUGAAGAAGGUUUUCGGAUCGUAAAACUCUGUUGUUAGAGAAGAACAAGGAUGAGAGUAGAAUGUUCAUCCCUUGACGGUAUCUAACCAGAAAGCCACGGCUAACUACGUGCCAGCAGCCGCGGUAAUACGUAGGUGGCAAGCGUUGUCCGGAUUUAUUGGGCGUAAAGCGAGCGCAGGCGGUUUCUUAAGUCUGAUGUGAAAGCCCCCGGCUCAACCGGGGAGGGUCAUUGGAAACUGGGAAACUUGAGUGCAGAAGAGGAGAGUGGAAUUCCAUGUGUAGCGGUGAAAUGCGUAGAUAUAUGGAGGAACACCAGUGGCGAAGGCGGCUCUCUGGUCUGUAACUGACGCUGAGGCUCGAAAGCGUGGGGAGCAAACAGGAUUAGAUACCCUGGUAGUCCACGCCGUAAACGAUGAGUGCUAAGUGUUGGAGGGUUUCCGCCCUUCAGUGCUGCAGCUAACGCAUUAAGCACUCCGCCUGGGGAGUACGACCGCAAGGUUGAAACUCAAAGGAAUUGACGGGGGCCCGCACAAGCGGUGGAGCAU